UUUGAGAGGUGGUCCAAGCGUACGUGAA
RNAcentral lists this small RNA (28 nucleotides) under Bombyx mori (domestic silkworm). RNAcentral's name for it is "ovarian small RNA-38378". Lineage: Eukaryota; Metazoa; Arthropoda; Insecta; Lepidoptera; Bombycidae. The record is from RNAcentral.